This 67-nucleotide transfer RNA is filed under the name Hordeum vulgare. Its description in RNAcentral is "tRNA-OTHER". The record is from RNAcentral. Lineage: Eukaryota; Viridiplantae; Streptophyta; Magnoliopsida; Poales; Poaceae.
GAGUAUAGAGCAGUUUGGUAGCUCAUAAGUCUCAUACCUUGGGUUGCGGGUUCGAUUCCCACUACCG